CUAGUAAUCGCGAAUCAGAAUGUCGCGGUGAAUGCGUUCCCGGGUCUUGUACACACCGCCCGUCACACCAUGGAAGUUGGGGGUGCCCAAAGCCGGCAAGCAAAUAUGCUGUCUAAGGCAAAACCAAUGACUGGGGUGAAGUCGUAACAAGGUAUC
This 156-nucleotide ribosomal RNA is filed under the name uncultured bacterium. RNAcentral describes it as "partial 16S ribosomal RNA". It matches the Rfam family "Bacterial small subunit ribosomal RNA", at positions 1335 to 1500 of the family's 1533-position model. The record is from RNAcentral.